This 69-nucleotide transfer RNA is filed under the name Thereuonema tuberculata. RNAcentral describes it as "tRNA-Lys". It matches the Rfam family "tRNA". Rfam says of the family: Transfer RNA (tRNA) molecules are approximately 80 nucleotides in length. Lineage: Eukaryota; Metazoa; Arthropoda; Chilopoda; Scutigeromorpha; Scutigeridae. RNAcentral also lists the same sequence under 1 other name. The record is from RNAcentral.
CAUUAGAUGGCUGAAAGAAAGCAAUGGUCUCUUAAACCAUUUUAUAACAAUUAUCACCUGUUUCUAAUG